Molecule: non-coding RNA, 193 nt
Organism: Camellia sinensis
Lineage: Eukaryota; Viridiplantae; Streptophyta; Magnoliopsida; Ericales; Theaceae
Source: RefSeq, a predicted model, not a curated record
ACCAUAGAUAUGUCAGGGAUCCUGAUUCACCACCGCCUCCGGCUGAGUAUGUGGACGAGAUUCUCGGGGUGAUGGCCGCACUUGAGGGCAUGGUUCUUCGGAGAGAGACACACCUAUCCGUUAUGGGUGUGCAGAUGCCUCCUGUAUAUGCUCCGCCGCGGGCCGGGCCACCUGGGCCUCCUUGGGGAGCUGG